UCACUGCGCAACACAACAUGUAGGAAGAGCAGGAUACGCAUUUUACGUGAUGGCUCAGUGGCAAAAGGUACCCGAUGUGGAUGACGGAGUCCUCGGGUUCGACUCCCAGAUUGACUGAAGACGUCUUGAACUGGACGAGGCAGAGGCAGGACUUUGAAGGACCAGUCAGGCGGGAAUGUUGGACAACUAUUUCCUGGGUUCAAGAAGGCAGAUGCAAGAAACUUACCCCGAGUAGAUGUUUUCAUUAUUGUGGAGUAUCUUCAUGCACUCCGCCAUCCAGAUAUGAAGCACAUUAAAUUACAAAGGUACUUACAAAAUUUCUCAUCUAAUUGAGUGCAGCUGUAUGUAUAUAAAGUGUUAAAUAAAGUUUAUAAGAGUGAGGGAUGGACUUGGUAUGUUG
Homarus americanus (American lobster) is the source of this 400-nucleotide long non-coding RNA. RefSeq lists it as uncharacterized. The transcript has 3 exons. Lineage: Eukaryota; Metazoa; Arthropoda; Malacostraca; Decapoda; Nephropidae. The record is from RefSeq and is a predicted model, not a curated record.